Coniochaeta sp. PMI_546 is the source of this 98-nucleotide non-coding RNA. The record is from the annotation of a GenBank genome assembly. NCBI's taxonomy places the organism in Eukaryota, Fungi, Ascomycota, Sordariomycetes, Coniochaetales, Coniochaetaceae.
GCGCCAGUGGUUUAGUGGUAAAAUCCAUCGUUGCCACCAGCGAGUCUCAACAGCUCCGCGAUGUCGAUGGGCCCCGCGUUCGAUUCGCGGCUGGCGCA